Molecule: ribosomal RNA, 484 nt
Filed under: uncultured bacterium
Lineage: Bacteria
Description: partial 16S ribosomal RNA
Rfam family: Bacterial small subunit ribosomal RNA
Source: RNAcentral
AUUGAACGCUGGCGGCAUGCUUUACACAUGCAAGUCGAACGGCAGCGCGGGCUUCGGCCUGGCGGCGAGUGGCGAACGGGUGAGUAAUGCAUCGGAACGUGCCCAGUAGUGGGGGAUAGCCCGGCGAAAGCCGGAUUAAUACCGCAUACGACCUGAGGGUGAAAGCGGGGGACCGAAAGGCCUCGCGCUAUUGGAGCGGCCGAUGUCGGAUUAGCUAGUUGGUGGGGUAAAGGCUUAGCAAGGGGACGAUCCGUAGCUGGUCUGAAAGGACGACCAGCCACACGGGGAGGGAGACACGGCCCAGACUCCGACGGGAGGCAGCAGUGGGGAAUUUUGGACAAUGGGGGCAACCCUGAUCCAGCCAUGCCGCGUGCGGGAAGAAGGCCUUCGGGUUGUAAACCGCUUUUGUUCGGGAAGAAAUCCUCUGGGCUAAUACCCCGGGGGGAUGACGGUACCGGAAGAAUAAGCACCGGCUAACUACGUG